UUAAGCGAAGAAGAGCGCAGGGUGGAUGCCUUGGCACUGAGAGCCGAUGAAAGACGUGAUAAGCUGCGAAAAGCCAUGGGGAGGUGCAAAUGACCCUUGAUCCAUGGAUAUCUGAAUGGGGAAACCUACAUGAGCAUACCUCAUGUGGCCUGUACUGAAUCCAUAGGUGCAGGCCGGGAACCCGGUGAACUGAAACAUCUAAGUAGCCGGAGGAAGAGAAAGAAAAUAUUCGAUUUCCAAAGUAGCGGCGAGCGAAAUGGAAAGAGCCCAAACCGGUGUGCGUGCACACCGGGGUUCGGACUGCAUGACUGAUCCACGAUCCCAGCAGAACGGUACUGGAAAGACCGGCGGUAAAGGGUGAGAGCCCCGUAAGCGAAGGGAGAAGGGACAGGGCAGUAUCCAGAGUACUACGAGACACGAGAAACCUUGUAGGAAUGAGCGGGGACCACCCCGUAAGGCUAAAUACUACUCAGUGACCGAUAGAGCAUAGUACUGUGAAGGAAAGGUGAAAAGGACCCCGGGAGGGGAGUGAAAGAGAACCUGAAACCCUGUGUUUACAAGCUGUGGAAGUACUUUAUAUGUACGACCGCGUACUUUUUGUAGAACGGUCCGGCGAGCUGCGGAUGCUGGCGAGGUUAAGCACUGAAGGUGCGGAGCCGAAGGGAAACCAUGUCUGAACAGGGCGUUUUUAGUCAGUAUACGCAGACCCGAAACCGGGUGAUCUAUCCAUGUCCAGGAUGAAGUUGCCGUAAAAGGCAGUGGAGGUCCGAACGCACAUCCGUUGAAAAGGGUGGCGAUGAGGUGUGGAUAGGGGAGAAAUUCCAAUCGAACCCGGAGAUAGCUGGUUCUCCUCGAAAUAGCUUUAGGGCUAGCCUCGUGAGAGUCAGGCGGAGGUAGAGCACUGAAUACCCGAGGGGGCGUCAAAGCUUACCAAAGGUUAUCAAACUCCGAAUGCCGCGCUGAUGCUUCACGGGAGUCAGACUACACGAGAUAAGUUGGGUGGUCAAAAGGGAAACAGCCCAGACCUGCAGCUAAGGUCCCAAAGUGCGUGUUAAGUGGAAAAGGAUGUGGGAUUUCGAAGACAACCAGGAUGUUGGCUCAGAAGCAGCCACACAUUCAAAGAGUGCGUAAUAGCUCACUGGUCGAGAGGUCCUGCGCCGAAAAUGUCCGGGGCUCAAACACGCCACCGAAGCUCAGGAAUGUAUUUAUACAUUGGUAGAGGAGCAUUGUCAGUGCAUCGAAGCUGUACCGGUAAGGAGCAGUGGAGCGCUGAGAAGAGAGAAUGCCGGAAUGAGUAGCGAGAAAGAGGUGAGAAUCCUCUUGGCCGAAUAUCCAAGGAUUCCGGGGUAAAGCUGAUCUGCCCCGGGUAAGUCGGGACCUAAGGCGAGGCAGAAAUGCGUAGCCGAUGGACAGCAGGUGGAGAUUCCUGCACUGCCAUAUAUCAGAAAUGUGGGGACGCAUCAGGAAAGUGUGGGCCGGGAAAGGAAAGACCGGUGCAAGCGGAGGAGGGGACAUGCAGGCAAAUCCGCAUGUCAACCCAAGAGCGUUAUGCGGAGCGAAGAAUAGUAGCGAAGCACACGGACAGGGUGCCGAGAAAAGCCGCUAUCGUGUAUAUGGUACCCGUACCGUAAACCGACACAGGUGGAUGAGGAGAGAAUCCUAAGGCCGGCGGGAGAAGCAUUGUUAAGGAACUCGGCAAAAUGGCCCCGUAACUUAGGGAUAAGGGGUGCCACAGUGAUGUGGCCGCAGAGAAUAGGCUCAAGCAACUGUUUAGCAAAAACACAGGUCUAUGCGAAACCGAAAGGUGAGGUAUAUGGGCUGACGCCUGCCCGGUGCUGGAAGGUUAAGAGGAGAGGUUAGCGCAAGCGAAGCUUUGAAUUGAAGCCCCAGUAAACGGCGGCCGUAACUAUAACGGUCCUAAGGUAGCGAAAUUCCUUGUCGGGUAAGUUCCGACCCGCACGAAAGGCGUAAUGAUUUGAGCGCUGUCUCGACAAUGCACCCGGUGAAAUUGAAGUACCAGUGAAGAUGCUGGUUACCCGCGCCAGGACGGAAAGACCCCAUGGAGCUUUACUCCAGUUUGAUACUGGGAUUCG
This 2093-nucleotide ribosomal RNA is filed under the name human gut metagenome. Its description in RNAcentral is "bacterial LSU rRNA". It matches the Rfam family "Bacterial large subunit ribosomal RNA", at positions 1 to 2126 of the family's 2925-position model. The record is from RNAcentral.